CCAGCAACUUGGAGGAAUGUAUAGCGAAAGCUAAUUGUAUUAACUAAUAGUUAAUGCAAUAUCGAUUAUCUCGACUAAAAUUCUAGGUAGAGUAAUGAUAAUGACAUUUUUUACCUAUAGGUCUUGACCAAAUCACGUGCCAGCAGUCGCGGCAAUACGUGGAAGACUAGUGUUAUUCAUCUUUAAUUGGUUUAAAGGGUACCUAGACGGUAUAUCUAGCCCAAAAAGGGUACUGAUAAACUAGAGUUUAAUGUGAGGGGGGGAGUACUAAUGGAGUAGAGAUGAAAUUCUGUCAUACCAAGAGGUAACAGGUAUCGGCGAAAGCAACCCUUUAUGCAAAAACUGACGUUGAAGGACGAAGGCUCGGGUCACAAACAGGAUUAGAUACCCCAGUAGUCUGGGCAGACAACGCUGAAUGCCAUAGAUUAGAUUAUAUUUCUUCUAUAAAUGAAAGUGUAAGCAUUCCACCUCAAGAGUAAUUUGGCCACAUUGAAACUGAAAUCAUUAGACCGUAUCUGAAACCAGUAGUGAAGUAUGUUGUUUAAUUUGUUAGCCCUCAAAAAACCUUACCACAAUUUGAAUAUUUUUAUAUUUCUUUAUAAUUAUACAAGAGUUGCAUGGCUGUCUUCAGUUAAUGUCGUGAGAAUUUGGUUAGUUCCAUAAAAUUAACGUAAACCCUUACUUUAUUUUUUUUUUAUAAAGUUGUUCACCGCUAUAUUGGAUAUGAUAAAAGGGACUAAGACAAGUC
RNAcentral lists this ribosomal RNA (748 nucleotides) under Boreoplaca ultrafrigida. RNAcentral's name for it is "partial 12S small subunit ribosomal RNA". It matches the Rfam family "Bacterial small subunit ribosomal RNA", at positions 345 to 1191 of the family's 1533-position model. The record is from RNAcentral. Lineage: Eukaryota; Fungi; Ascomycota; Lecanoromycetes; Umbilicariales; Ophioparmaceae.